GAUGAACGCUGGCGGCGUGCCUAAUACAUGCAAGUCGAGCGAACGGACGAGAAGCUUGCUUCUCUGAUGUUAGCGGCGGACGGGUGAGUAACACGUGGAUAACCUACCUAUAAGACUGGGAUAACUUCGGGAAACCGUAGCUAAUACCGGAUAAUAUUUUGAACCGCAUGGUUCAAAAGUGAAAGACGGUCUUGCUGUCACUUAUAGAUGGAUCCGCGCUGCAUUAGCUAGUUUGUAAGGUAACGGCUUACCAAGGCAACGAUGCAUAGCCGACCUGAGAGGGUGAUCGGCCACACUGGAACUGAGACACGGUCCAGACUCCUACGGGAGGCAGCAGUAGGGAAUCUUCCGCAAUGGGCGAAAGCCUGACGGAGCAACGCCGCGUGAGUGAUGAAGGUCUUCGGAUCGUAAAACUCUGUUAUUAGGGAAGAACAUAUGUGUAAGUAACUGUGCACAUCUUGACGGUACCUAAUCAGAAAGCCACGGCUAACUACGUG
This 497-nucleotide ribosomal RNA is filed under the name uncultured bacterium. RNAcentral describes it as "partial 16S ribosomal RNA". It matches the Rfam family "Bacterial small subunit ribosomal RNA", at positions 28 to 507 of the family's 1533-position model. The record is from RNAcentral.